AAGUCGUAACAAGGUCUCCGUUGGUGAACCAGCGAGGGAUCAUUACAGAGUUAUAGACUCCCAACCCUAUGUGAACUUACCAUCGUUGCCUCGGCGGACCUUUCCGGUACAGCCUCUAUUUUGAGUCACCCUGAAGGGACGCCGGCGGACAUAUAAAUUCUGUUAUCAAAAUGACAUCUGAGCGUCUUAUUAAAUAAGUCAAAACUUUCAACAACGGAUCUCUUGGUUCUGGCAUCGAUGAAGAACGCAGCGAAAUGCGAUAAGUAAUGUGAAUUGCAGAAUUCAGUGAAUCAUCGAAUCUUUGAACGCACAUUGCGCCCAUUAGUACUCUAGUGGGCAUGCCUGUUCGAGCGUCAUUUCAACCCCUAAGCCCCGCUUAGUGUUGGGAGACUACUAUUAGCUGGUGCUUCCCGGGAGCCACCCUGAAAGAUGGGUCGGCCUACCCGGUGGUUACCCUGUAGCUCCUCAAAGACAGCGGCGGAGUCGCGGUGUCCUCUGAGCGUAGUAAAUCUUCUCGCUUUUGACGGUGCCACGGCCCCUGCCGUAAAACACCCCUUUUUUAAUGGUUGACCUCGGAUCAGGUAGGAAUACCCGCUGAACUUAAGCAUAUCAAUAAGCGGAGGAAAAGAAACCAACAGGGAUUGCCCUAGUAACGGCGAGUGAAGCGGCAACAGCUCAAAUUUGAAAUCUGGCCUUACGGUCCGAGUUGUAAUUUGUAGAGGAUGCUUUUGGUGCGGUGCCUUCCGAGUUCCCUGGAACGGGACGCCUUAGAGGGUGAGAGCCCCCGUACGGUUGGACGCCUAGCCUCUGUAAAGCUCCUUCGACGAGUCGAGUAGUUUGGGAAUGCUGCUCUAAAUGGGAGGUAAAUUUCUUCUAAAGCUAAAUACUGGCCAGAGACCGAUAGCGCACAAGUAGAGUGAUCGAAAGAUGAAAAGCACUUUGAAAAGAGGGUUAAAUAGCACGUGAAAUUGUUGAAAGGGAAGCGCUUAUGACCAGACUUUCUCCUGGCGGAUCAUCCGGUGUUCUCACCGGUGCACUUCGCCUGGUUUAGGCCAGCAUCGGUUUCUGUAGGGGGAUAAAAGCUUCGGGGACGUGGNUCCCUCGGGAGUGUUAUAGCCCGUUGUAUAAUACCUUACGGGGACCGAGGUUCGCGCAUCUGCAAGGAUGCUGGCAUAAUGGUCAUCAGCGACC
Molecule: ribosomal RNA, 1191 nt
Filed under: uncultured fungus
Lineage: Eukaryota; Fungi
Description: eukaryotic LSU rRNA
Rfam family: Eukaryotic large subunit ribosomal RNA (bases 568-1191)
Source: RNAcentral